This 4002-nucleotide long non-coding RNA is filed under the name Homo sapiens (human). Its description in RNAcentral is "HSALNT0244038". Lineage: Eukaryota; Metazoa; Chordata; Mammalia; Primates; Hominidae. The record is from RNAcentral.
AAGAGAAAAGCAAGGCUCGCUGGACCUUCCAGAAAGGCAGGAAUGAGGGGGAGGCAAUGGUUAGCAGCCAGCCACUGGGAAAACACCGUGCAGGGUGGGCCCCUGGGGAGCGGGGGGGAGCUCCAGCGAUGUUGAGGAGGGCAUGGCGGGUGCAUUGGGGGCUUCGUCUAUUCCAUCAAGCCCACCCAGAAAGGCAGGGCAGGCUCCGUGUCCCACUGGCCAGGUUCAGUCCUGGGACCCUAGACUAGUUACCAAACCCUGCUGUGUUUCUGCUUCCUGGCCGUCACAUGGGGACCUGCCUCUUAGGGUUCUGUGAGGACCCAACGGGUUAAGACAAAUAACACACUUAGAGCAUGGCCAGAUACAGGAAAAGUGUUCUAUUCAUUUUAUUUCAUCAACACAUUAACUCAUGGAGGUAAUUUUUUUUUUUUUUUUUUUUCCCGAGACGGAGUCUCACUCUAUCAUCCAGGCUGGAGUGCAGUAGUGCAAUCUCGGCUCACUGCAACCUUUGCCUUACAGGUUCGAGCUAUUCUCCUGCCUCAGCCUCCUGAGUAGCUGGGACUACAGGCGUGUGCCACUGCGCCCAAUUAAUUUUUGUAUUUUUGGUAGAGAUGGGGUUCCACUAUGUUGGCCAGGCUGGUCUUGAACUCCUGACCUCAAGUGAUCCACCCCCCUCAGCCUCCCAAAGUGCUGGGAUUACAGGCGUGAGCCAGUGUACCUGGCCCAAGGUGAAUAUUAUCCCCAUUUUGUAGAUGAGGAAACUGAGGCUCAGAGGGCCCCAGGAGAAGUGGCCUCACAGAAUCCACUACACAAAGAAUGUUUAUUUAGCAACUGUCACGGGAAAGGCAGGAAAUUCAGAGGAGGCUAAUAGGCCAUUCUGUCCCAGAGAGGUUUAUGUUUCUAGUGGGGUGGUGAUUGCAAACCCCAGUAAAGUUUUUCUGCUUUCAAAGGGCAGAGAGAUCCCAGGGGAAGGAAAGUGGGAGAGGAAGGGGAUUUGGGCUGGUUAGAGGAAGCUUUGCUAGAGGAACUAAGCUCCAGGAUAAUCAGGGUUUGUGAUGGGGUGGGGAGAGAAAACCAUCAACUCAGAGGCAGAAGAGGUUUUCAUAGUAUUUGUAUCCUCUCUCCUCAGGCUCUGCAUUGGCUGGUCCUGAUUACAGAAAAAAAAAAAAUGAUCUGCUUCAGAGUGGGUCAAGAGACCCACGGAUUAAAAGCCUCAAAUGUAUGAGUACAUAUGGGCACCAAGAAGGGAACAGGCACCGAGGCCUAUUGAGGGUAGAGAAUGGAAGGAAAGUGAGGAAUGAAAAACAACUAUGUUUAUUACCUGGGUGGCAAAAUAAUCUGCACACCAAACCCCUGUGACAUGCAGUUUACCUGCACCUGUCCCAGUACCCUUGAACCUAAAGUAAAAAUUAAAAAUAAAAAAGAAAGUUGAAAUGACUAAUAACAAAAAAAAAUUUUUUUAGAGAUGGGGGUCUUGCUAUUUUGCUCAGGCUGAUCUUAAACUCCUGGCUCAAGCGAUCCUUCCCCCUUGGCCUCCCAAAGUGCUGGGAUUAUUUUUAAUGACGUUUGUUCAUACUUUGUUUGUAAUACUUAUGGAGAUUCUCACCCACCGUUACCAGUUAGCUUUCCCAAACUGUGCUUUAACUGUUGAUUUUGUAAUAAAAAGCAGUAUCUUCAAAUAAAUAAAUAAAAUGAACACAUUGAAAACACAAACAAAAAAGGCCUCGGUGUAGGUUUCCAGUCUCUGAGUGAGGCUGUAUACACUCAGCCAGGGAGGAAAGGAUCCAUGAUCAUUGUUAGAGGUAAACAUGGAAAAGAUAGCACAGUGACAAGCCAGUGGUCCUCAACUUCGGUGGCAUAUUAGAAUACCCUGGGAAGUCCCACUCCAUCCCAAUUAAGUCCGAAUCUCUGAAGGUGGGGCUGAGGCAUCAGUAGGUUUUAAAGCUCCUGGGGGCUGUUGUGCAAAGGAAAACUUGAAGCUCUGUUCCUUCAUUUCAAAAAGAAAGAAAGAAAAUGGAAGUGGCCAGAGCCUCUCUCCAGGCGAGGAACAGAAAGCAGAAAAGAACUGGCUUCUUUUUGUGAUCUUGGUCCAAACCUCUUUUUCCUCUCACUGAAGGAUUCUCCCAGCAACCUCCAAGCAACCAGUCAAGAGACGCUGCCCUGAAUUUUUGGUCCUCAGCUAUAGAACAAAGAAGUCUUUGAGGUUUAACAAGAGGCUGCUCAGCUCUCUGGCCCCUGGGCUACUAAGAUCUAGAUUGGGAGCCUGGACUGCCACAUGUGUAAGGGACGGAGCCUCGGAUCAGGGCUGCCAGCUGGUGCCCUCCAAAGGCAGUAUCUCACCUCCUGCCCACCCUCCUCCCAACCCUCAGGAGGGUGCUUGCAGUGAGAUGAGAUGCCGCAGGGAAUAAAAACCACCAGCACCCCCUCAGCGUCCCUCCACUGUGUCAGGAUCACAGACAGUGAGCCCCAGCCCCCAGCCCAGCCCUCUCUCCCCUGGAGGGAAACCAGCUUAAAUUUGACUGGUUAGUAGGAAUCCCUCAUCUGGUCAGUGCCAAGAUAUCCCCAGCCUCCUGCUCCCUAACCCGGCUCCUCCGGGAGUGCUCUUCCAAGCAGGUGGAAACAUAGCUUGCCUGAAGUGGUGAUGAAUCUCCUCAUAGUAGGGGUUGGGAGGAUAGGUGGCACUUGGACUAGAAUUGGGAAUAUGGGAGUGGGAAGGGCAGUGGAAGGGGGAUUUUGUUCCAUUUUUUUUUUUUUUUUUUUUUUUUUUUUGCUUUCUCCAGUCUCAGAGGUAGGAGAUGUUGGGCAGCAGUCAAGAAAAAGUUCACCUCUCCAAGCUUUACCAUAGGCAACUGGCCACCACCCCUCCUCACUCCAGCGGUUUGAAUGGUUUGCUCCUAACUGUGCCCUCUGCAUUUGCCUUCAUCCAUCUCCAUUCUUCUUUACGGUCAACAUGCCAGGACCCUACAUCUUCUCCCACAUCAGUUGUUCACAGGGGCUCCUUCCCAUGGAGUUCUGUCUAAUGGCUUCCCAAACCUGAGUCUCAUGGACAUGUCCACUCUUCUUGUCCAAUAUCUCAGGAGCCUUGAAUACUGCUGACCACUAUGGUUGUAGGGUGGUGGUAGGGUGGUGGUAGGAUGGUGUAGGGUGGUGGUAAGGUGGUUGUAGGGUGGUGUACAGUGGUGGUCAGGUGGUGGUAAGAUGGUAUAGGGUGGUGUAGAGUGGUAGGGUGGUGGAAGGAUAGUGUGAUAGGGUGGUGGAAGGGUGGUUGUAGGGUGAUGUAGGGUGGUGGUAGGGUGGUGGAAGGGUGGUUGUAGGGUAGUUUUAGGGUGGCAGGGUGGUGGUACAGUGGUGGUAGAGUGGUGGUAAGGUGGUGUAGGGUGACGGUAGGGUGGUGUAGGGUGGUGGAAAGAUAGUGGUAGGGGGGUGUAGGGUGGUGGUAGGGUGAAAAUAAAGCUACAUGUAUAUAUUGAGGUCUGGCACACAGUGUUUAAAACAUGUUAGCUCUCUCUUCCCUGCGUACUCUCAAGAGUGUAUGUAUGGUGUUGAGUGUACCCUGGGCCCUGGCUCUGGGUCAUUCAGCAAUGACUGAGGAGGGCUGGAAACAAGGAGGUGCCUGUGGAGAACAAAUCCACUUCUGGUUACUGGUUUGAGACCUGGUAACAGUGGCCAUCCCCGACCUUCUUGGGCUGCCAUCUUUGAAGACCACCAUCCCUAAGGUGAACAGAGAUGGUUCAGAGAUUUUUCCUUUAUCUUUCCAUAGAGGAAGUACAACCAGAAGUUGGGAUGAGUCGGCCUUGAGAUGGAAGAGAUUUGAGAUACCCCACUUUUCCCAGUGACUGCUUUGAUAAGCAGACAGUCUUCCUUUCUCUUUCCUUUGAAGAUUUUGGUCCAAUUUGCAAAGGAGCUAGUAUCCCAGUUGUUUUAAGAAUGUAUAGUCCUGGAGGCAGACACCAACUGAGAAAAUGGAGCACCUAGAAAAAGGCAGAUAAGGGAAUAAAAGAA